AAUCAACGCUGGCGGCGUGCCUAACACAUGCAAGUCGAACGCGAAAGCCCCUUCGGGGGCAAGUAGAGUGGCGUCCGGGUGAGUAACACGUGGGUAAUCUACCUCCGGGUGGGGAAUAACUCGCCGAAAGGUGGGCUAAUACCGCAUAAUGGCAGCGGCACCGAAUGGUGAUUAGUUGUUAAAGCGGGGGACCUUAGGGCCUCGCGUCUGGAGAGGAGCCUGCGGCAGAUUAGCUUGNGGUAGGGUAAUGGCCUACCAAGGCUGCGAUCUGUAGCUGGUCUGAGAGGACGGCCAGCCACACUGGCACUGACACACGGGCCAGACUCCUACGGGAGGCAGCAGUGGGGAAUUUUGGGCAAUGGGCGAAAGCCUGACCCAGCAACGCCGCGUGAAGGAGGAAAUCCUUCGGGAUGUAAACUUCACAAGCAACGGGAGAGCGCGCAGGGUCGAAUAAACUCUGCGUCCGACGGUACCUUGCGUAAGCCACGGCUAAC
Molecule: ribosomal RNA, 494 nt
Filed under: uncultured bacterium
Lineage: Bacteria
Description: bacterial SSU rRNA
Rfam family: Bacterial small subunit ribosomal RNA
Source: RNAcentral